GAUGAACGCUGGCGGCGUGCCUAAUACAUGCAAGUCGAGCGAACAGACGAGGAGCUUGCUCCUCUGACGUUAGCGGCGGACGGGUGAGUAACACGUGGAUAACCUACCUAUAAGACUGGGAUAACUUCGGGAAACCGGAGCUAAUACCGGAUAAUAUAUUGAACCGCAUGGUUCAAUAGUGAAAGACGGUUUUGCUGUCACUAAUAGAUGGUUCCGCGCCGCAUUAGCUAGUUGGUAAGGUAACGGCUUACCAAGGCUACGAUGCGUAGCCGACCUGAGAGGGUGAUCGGCCACACUGGAACUGAGACACGGUCCAGACUCCUACGGGAGGCAGCAGUAGGGAAUCUUGCGCAAUGGGCGAAAGCCUGACGGAGCAACGCCGCGUGAGUGAUGAAGGUCUUCGGAUCGUAAAGCUCUGUUAUUAGGGAAGAACAAAUGUGUAAGUAACUAUGCACGUCUUGACGGUACCUAAUCAGAAAGCCACGGCUAACUACGUG
Molecule: ribosomal RNA, 497 nt
Filed under: uncultured bacterium
Lineage: Bacteria
Description: partial 16S ribosomal RNA
Rfam family: Bacterial small subunit ribosomal RNA
Source: RNAcentral